GCCACUUCCUUCCAAGAAAAGUUAGACGGCAAACCGGCGAUGCAGGGAGCCAUGGACCCAUGUAAUGAACAUUAGCUGGCUUGGCUGCGACCCUGAAACAAUAUAACGAUCUCUCUGCCUGUGAAGCCUGUGCUGUACACACUUGAGACAUGGGUUUCCGUAAUUGCAAAAGAAGAAAAGAAAAAUGAAGAAUGCCUUUCCAUGCAAAUGUACGACUUCAGAGUCCACAUAUAUUCGAUCAGUUCAUAGUGCAACAUGUUAAGCUGGUUUUCAUAGUUGACAGAUUACGGUAGACUCAAUAAAUCGGUCAACAGCUUGACACAUUGAUUGACGAACUAGUCAACCUUAUCCAUCAUAAGUUCAUAGCACAAACACAAGCUCAGAGGACACGACAUGCAUUAUGCACUGCCCCGCUCAGAUGGAUAAAUUUAACAACCCACACCUUUCUUCGUAGCUUCAUAAUGUCGUGCAUGCAAACAGCAUGACAUUGCUUAAAUAUGCAGAAGGUUCAGUAUACCAGGGAAGGGUUUUGCAUCAAAAAAAUAUUAGAAAUUUUCAGUAGACUCCCACACACACGCACGUCGCAAGUUAUGCGCGUAGCUUCCUUACCAUCUUACCUAUACAGCAUAUCCAACUAAAUAGGGAUGCUAUCCUUUUGUACUCACCCGUGAGGUUAGUCCGGAUUUGUAACACCAACCGGAAGUAAAGAGUCACCUUUAGUCCCGAUUGGUGUUACCAACCGGGACUAAAGAGCCUCGCACGAACUACAAAAUUUAGAUCCGGGACUAAAGUCGUAGUCCUGGGUCCAAAAAUGACCAAGACUUUUGUUAAGGAUGAAAGGUCAUUUCUCUAUUAGUGCAUCUUGUCCACCACCACCACCUCCGCCUCGACCUCCCCCAUCCCCACCCCCAGCACUAACAUAUCUUGCUACUCUUGCAGCCUUGGCAAGUCCAAUGCUAAGUUGGACGAUGAAACUAAGGGCACUUAGUUCUAGCCAUUUUGAGCUACCAAGCUUUAUGAAUC
RNAcentral lists this long non-coding RNA (1023 nucleotides) under Setaria italica (foxtail millet). Its description in RNAcentral is "long non-coding RNA (SITA_LNC006767)". Lineage: Eukaryota; Viridiplantae; Streptophyta; Magnoliopsida; Poales; Poaceae. The record is from RNAcentral.